GAUCCUGGCUCAGAUUGAACGCUGGCGGCAUGCUUUACACAUGCAAGUCGAACGGCAGCGGGGGCUUCGGCCUGCCGGCGAGUGGCGAACGGGUGAGUAAUGCAUCGGAACGUGCCCAUGUCGUGGGGGAUAACGUAUCGAAAGGUACGCUAAUACCGCAUACGUCCUGAGGGAGAAAGCGGGGGAUCGCAAGACCUCGCGCGAUUGGAGCGGCCGAUGUCGGAUUAGCUAGUAGGUGAGGUAAAGGCUCACCUAGGCGACGAUCCGUAGCGGGUCUGAGAGGAUGAUCCGCCACACUGGGACUGAGACACGGCCCAGACUCCUACGGGAGGCAGCAGUGGGGAAUUUUGGACAAUGGGGGCAACCCUGAUCCAGCCAUGCCGCGUGAGUGAAGAAGGCCUUCGGGUUGUAAAGCUCUUUCGGCCGGGAAGAAAUCGUGUUCUCUAACAUAGGACAUGGAUGACGGUACCGGACUAAGAAGCACCGGCUAACUAC
RNAcentral lists this ribosomal RNA (495 nucleotides) under uncultured bacterium. RNAcentral's name for it is "bacterial SSU rRNA". It matches the Rfam family "Bacterial small subunit ribosomal RNA", at positions 15 to 504 of the family's 1533-position model. The record is from RNAcentral.